UGUGUGCUGUCUCAGUGGCACAAGGAAGGCUGGAGCGGUCCGCAAAUCACACGUUUUGUAGGCUGGCAUGUUUACCACAAAUGUGUCUAGAGAAGAAACAUGGCAGAAAGUGGGAGACUCAGACGGAGCAGACAUGCCCAUGUCAUUCUUGGCGUAGACCCUGAAGUGGUACUCCCUGCCAGGCAUAAUGUUACAAGCCGUGAACUUGUUGUUGAAGAGCCGGUCAGCCACCGUGCUCCAUGAGCCUUUGGUGGAGUCCCGUUUAGACACAGAGUAGUGAAGGUGGUCGUCACGCUUCUCAUCAGGGGAUGGCUCCCAAAUCACAGUCACAGUGCCUGGGACGUUCUCCUCAAGUUCUACUGGUCCUGGAGGCUUGGGAUCAUCUACAGCCAGAGUCAGAGAUGAUAGUCAGUAUGAUGUUAUACUUCGCGAGGACAUUCUAUCAUUAGGUGGUAAUUGUUGUUGAUUCACUUAUGGCCAAUGUUCAUUGUGACUGCUGAUAUUUAAAAUACUUUCUUUGUGA
This is a long non-coding RNA of Oncorhynchus tshawytscha (Chinook salmon), 523 nucleotides long. RefSeq lists it as uncharacterized. The transcript is spliced from 2 exons. The record is from RefSeq and is a predicted model, not a curated record. Lineage: Eukaryota; Metazoa; Chordata; Actinopteri; Salmoniformes; Salmonidae.